UCUCAUAUACAUUAUCAUUAUGCAGACCGGUCUGUUGUUUCUUGCGUUGUUCUCGUGCUUUUCUCUUAUCGAGGGAAAGUCAUUCGAAGGUCAAACGUGUGUUGGAAUUCGGAGAGAAGAUUCAUCCUAUACCUACCCGACGCUGUGGCCGUGAACGUGCAAGACCGCAACUGUGAUGCAGAGUGGACCAUUGAUGCAAAUAUCAAAACCAGUUCCCAUCUCAAUUCACAGCUAUCCUGGAUGGAAAUGUAGCACACUUUUCUCAUCCCUUCAAAAAAGUAACCCGUAAUGGAAUCAGUGUGUCUUACUGUCCAUUUUCAGUCAGAUUCCAUGCCUCUUGUCCUAAUUACACCAAUGACUUCACAUGUUCUUGCACCAAUUCCACCAACAUCUAUCCAGUGUUUAGUACAACUCUGCCAUCUGGAGAUUUAUCUUCCUCUGCCAUCAAAACUAAUUCAUCAGUGAGACAACACUAUGGUUCCGUUGCUGUUGCUGCCACUUUUGUCAUAACCCUUGUCAUUUUGGCUUUCCUCUCUGUAGGCACAGCAAAAUAUGCUCCUGAGGACCAAAACCAGCCUGGUUCAGUAGAAUGAGCCUGAGGAGGCAACUGUAAUUGCCCUAGAAACAAGAACACAUGGCGUGGAGUCAUAACAACACAUUAUCCUAUGUAACACAUAUUAUAUUAUAUUAUAUUAUAUUAUAUUAUAUU
Molecule: long non-coding RNA, 709 nt
Organism: Sinocyclocheilus rhinocerous
Lineage: Eukaryota; Metazoa; Chordata; Actinopteri; Cypriniformes; Cyprinidae
Exons: 8
Source: RefSeq, a predicted model, not a curated record